RNAcentral lists this non-coding RNA (21 nucleotides) under Caenorhabditis elegans. Lineage: Eukaryota; Metazoa; Nematoda; Chromadorea; Rhabditida; Rhabditidae. The record is from RNAcentral.
UAAAAUUUUCAGAUGGAAAUG